RNAcentral lists this ribosomal RNA (179 nucleotides) under uncultured bacterium. RNAcentral describes it as "partial 16S ribosomal RNA". It matches the Rfam family "Bacterial small subunit ribosomal RNA", at positions 325 to 502 of the family's 1533-position model. The record is from RNAcentral.
CGUAGUUGGGGCCUUUGGGGGGCCGCAGUAGGGAAUAUUCCGCAAUGGACGAAAGUCUGACGGAGCAACUCCGCGUGAGUGAAGAAGGUUUUCGGAUCGUAAAACUCUGUUGUCAGAGAAGAACAAGCUCGAGAGUAACUGCUUCAGCCUGACGGUUCUAACAUAAGAUUGGGAUAAAA